RNAcentral lists this ribosomal RNA (423 nucleotides) under uncultured bacterium. Its description in RNAcentral is "bacterial SSU rRNA". It matches the Rfam family "Bacterial small subunit ribosomal RNA", at positions 207 to 622 of the family's 1533-position model. The record is from RNAcentral.
AAGACCUUGCGCUUUUGGAGCGGCCGAUGCCUGAUUAGCUAGUUGGUAGGGUAAAAGCCUACCAAGGCAACGAUCAGUAGUUGGUCUGAGAGGACGGCCAGCCACACUGGGACUGAGACACGGCCCAGACUCCUACGGGAGGCAGCAGUGGGGAAUUUUGGACAAUGGGCGCAAGCCUGAUCCAGCAAUGCCGCGUGAGUGAAGAAGGCCUUCGGGUUGUAAAGCUCUUUCAGUCGAGAAGAAAAGAUUGUGACGAAUAAUCACAAUUCAUGACGGUAUCGACAGAAGAAGCACCGGCUAACUACGUGCCAGCAGCCGCGGUAAUACGUAGGGUGCAAGCGUUAAUCGGAAUUACUGGGCGUAAAGGGUGCGCAGGCGGCUUUGUAAGUCAGAUGUGAAAUCCCCGGGCUUAACCUGGGAAUU